Molecule: ribosomal RNA, 301 nt
Filed under: uncultured bacterium
Lineage: Bacteria
Description: partial 16S ribosomal RNA
Rfam family: Bacterial small subunit ribosomal RNA
Source: RNAcentral
CAGCAGCCGCGGUAAUACAGAGGAUGCAAGCGUUAUCUGGAAUGAUUGGGCAUAAAGUGUCUGUAGGUGGCUUUUCAAGUCCGCCGUCAAAUCCCAGGGCUAAACCCUGGACAGGCGAUGGAAACUACCAAGCUGGAGUAUGGUAGGGGCAGAGGGAAUUUCCGGUGGAGAGGUGAAAUGCGUUGAGAUCAGAAAGACACCAACGGCGAAAGCACUCUGCUGGGCCGACACUGACACUAAGAGAUGAAAGCCAGGGGAGAAAAUGGGAUUAGAUACCCCCGUAGUCCCUGUCUCUUAUACA